UUCUGGCUCAGGAUGAACGCUGGCGGCGUGCUUAACACAUGCAAGUCGAACGAAGCACUGAAGAAUGGAGAUUCGUCAAAGUCUCUUGACUGAGUGGCGAACGGGUGAGUAAUGCGUGAGCAACCUGCCCUUCAGAGGGGGACAACAGUUGGAAACGACUGCUAAUACCGCAUGACGUGUUCGGGAGGCAUCUCUUGGAUACCAAAGGAGAAAUCCGCUGAAGGAUGGGCUCACGUCUGAUUAGCUAGUUGGCGGGGCAACGGCCCACCAAGGCGACGAUCAGUAGCCGGACUGAGAGGUUGAACGGCCACAUUGGGACUGAGAUACGGCCCAGACUCCUACGGGAGGCAGCAGUGGGGAAUAUUGGGCAAUGGGCGAAAGCCCUGACCCAGCAACGCCGCGUGAAGGAAGAAGGUCUUCGGAUUGUAAACUUCUUUUAUGAGGGACGAAGGACGUGACGGUACCUCAUGAAUAAGCCACGGCUAACUACGUGCCAGCAGCCGC
RNAcentral lists this ribosomal RNA (504 nucleotides) under uncultured bacterium. RNAcentral describes it as "bacterial SSU rRNA". It matches the Rfam family "Bacterial small subunit ribosomal RNA", at positions 17 to 518 of the family's 1533-position model. The record is from RNAcentral.